This 1792-nucleotide long non-coding RNA is filed under the name Strigops habroptila (Kakapo). RNAcentral's name for it is "lncRNA (ENSSHBG00005003250.1)". Lineage: Eukaryota; Metazoa; Chordata; Aves; Psittaciformes; Psittacidae. The record is from RNAcentral.
GCUGGAAAAGUCCUGUUAAUAACUGCUCCUUUCUACUACGGUUAGCCCUUCAUUUAACAGUUUCAGUAGAUUUUUUGAUUCUUUCAUUUUAAUAGAUAAAACUGUAAUGAGUGAAACUAAUGAAGAUUCCCUUGCAAAUAAUCAGACCAAUAAUGUUACACCCAGGUGUAAAUUAGCUUUAAUGUUACACUCUGUGGUUAUUCUUAGAUAAGAAAUACCUGCAAAUUACAGGAAUAAUUAAACUCUUUUGAUAAAAAAUUAAGAGCAGAUUGAGAGAUUACAGCACUCCAUGCAUAUUAUAAACCCCAAAUCUACAGAGAAAUUAAUCAUACACUCAGCUUUAAGUAUGUGCUCAACACCACCACUUCCUUCACUUUUAAGCAAGUGCUCAAGUCCGUGUUUUCCUGCAGCCAGAAGUGACACUAGAGAGUGCUUUAGACUAUGAGAGGAUAUCAUUUCUAACAAUCACGUUGUCAGAAGAGGAAAGAAUAAGAACCAGCUUUUAGUCAAAUUAGUUCCAUUUUACAAGGAAUUACUACACAUAGAAAGACUUGUCUAUUUGCACAUUUUUGGAAACUGGAUGAACUUCAGUUACUGUAAGUUUCAACAGUAAUUAAUCUACCCACUUUACUUUCCCCCGUUUUCUAAUUGAAUCAGUGAGAUACAGGAAAUAAUUUCUAUUCAUUGUAAGUUGCACAGUACUGCAAGGCAAGAAUUAGAAAUUUUGUUCCUAUAUACUGAAUUACAGCUGCCCUCACAUUUUGCUUUGAGCUAACCACUAGAUGACACUACUUCCCACUUACUUUGCAAGUGUGGGCAUAUGCUGCCAUCUCCCCUAUACCCAUUCACAUAUUUACAUGCUUCUCGACCAAAGAACUUCAAAAAGAACAUUAUGCAGGUUUUGCUUUCCCCACUAUACAUUUUGAUGAAUUUUGUGUAUAUACACCUAGGUAUUUAGGUGCGCGUACAUAGAGGUUUACACAAGCAUUACAAGCAGUGUGUGUGUCUUUGCAUGGUUUAUAGAAAACAUGUAUUAUAAGUCACUGUGUGAGUCUUCAGGGUGUUAUAACUUAGCAAGUGCCGACGACAGCUCCACUUAAAAGAAACCAGAGGAACAGCAAGGAAAACUUAAUAGGCUGGAGUUUGUAGAGAAUGUUCCCCUGUCCCCUGCAUCCCGGUGUCUGUUCCCCCCUUCCCCCAAAAAAGGGAUACUAUAUUGGCUUCUGUAGUGUGAUUCUGAAUCCAUGGUGAAAAAUAUCAUGCUGAGGAGUCAGGCAAGAGUAGGCUUCACUAUUCAAGUCCAAAAAUGACAGACUAAGGAAAAGAAGAAAGACACAGAAGGGCUGUCAUGUAUAUCCAUAAGGCGGCUGCUGCUGCUGUGGUUUUUAAAUUAGGAAGAAUGAACUUUCCAGAAGGAUGUGUGGAAAGAAUCUCACAUUUCUAAAAGCCUGAUUUUCAGAAAUCCAGAAGCUCCAGAUUACUUGAAAAAUGGCUCCUCCAAAGUUACAUUUAUGCUACUAAAUUGCAUGCACAAAGGCAUGAGAACAUGGAAGUGGAGUAACAGCACCCUCAGAUACACUUUUAUUUUUGCCUAAGUCAACAGGCAUCUUGCUUUGUUAAGAUUUGUCUCAAUUUAUAACACAUUUGCUCUAUAUGUGCUGUAACUGUAAAACAUACAUUGUGUGAUAAACUUCAUUUAAAGAGUGUUUUAAAUGGCCAUACUAAAGGACGUCUUUAAAGUGUGCCCAUCCUCUAGUAGUGUGACAAUGUACUACCUAGAGUCAAAGCAAAA